GUACACGCUGUGACUAGCAUAUCAAUAAGCGGAGGAAAAGAAACUAACAAGGAUUCCCCUAGUAACGGCGAGUGAAGCGGGAAGAGCUCAAAUUUGAAAUCUUAAAGGGUUUCCCUUUACGAAUUGUAGUUUAAAGAAGUGUUUUCUGUUGAGGUUUUGGUAAAAGUUCUUUGGAAUAGGACAUCAUAGAGGGUGAGAAUCCCGUAUUUGACCUUUACUUUCAACUUUGUGAUACACUUUCAAAGAGUCGGAUUGUUUGGGAAUGCAGUCCAAAAUGGGUGGUAAAUUUCAUCUAAAGCUAAAUAUUGGCGAGAGACCGAUAGCGAACAAGUACCGUGAGGGAAAGAUGAAAAGAACUUUGAAAGAGAGUUAAACAGUACGUGAAAUUGUCAAAAGGGAAGCGUUUGACACCAGUGUUGUUUUUCUGAAAAUCAAUUAAAGAACUGUUUAUGCUAAGCUGUUUAGACUUUAUCAGCUAACUGUUUAGUUUUGAGCUUUUCUUUAAUGCACUUUUCAGUUAACAAGUCAACAUCAAUUUCUUUUGCUGUAAAAAAGCUUGAGGAAGGUGGCUUGAGAUUCGUCUUAAGUGUUUAUAGCCUCUUGCCUAUGCAGUCGGAGAGAUUGAGGUCUGCAGCGUAGAUCCUUCGGGGCUAAAUGCAUUUGUGCUAAGUUAUAACAUUUUAUAGACAACUUGUUGACUAUGAUUUGUCUUGUAGCUUACUCGCUUAUGUUAUUUUACCUACGCUUAGGAUGUUGACGCGCGUGUGUGCGUG
Molecule: ribosomal RNA, 773 nt
Filed under: uncultured Neocallimastigales
Lineage: Eukaryota; Fungi; Neocallimastigomycota; Neocallimastigomycetes; Neocallimastigales
Description: partial large subunit ribosomal RNA
Rfam family: Eukaryotic large subunit ribosomal RNA
Source: RNAcentral